Long non-coding RNA from Hermetia illucens (black soldier fly), 942 nucleotides. RefSeq lists it as uncharacterized. Lineage: Eukaryota; Metazoa; Arthropoda; Insecta; Diptera; Stratiomyidae. The record is from RefSeq and is a predicted model, not a curated record. The transcript has 4 exons.
GCGCCAUCUCCAUUUCUAUUAGUCGUACUGUCAAACUUUGCCCGUUAAAUUUGGGAAGGUGGAAUUUGGGACUUUACUAUUAUCUGUUAGAAGGAAAGUAUUGGGCACAUUACAAUUCAAGCAAUAACACUGGCAAGUAUAUAUACGUGCAUAUGACUUUAAACCGAGUGCACCGUUUUCAAAUCUACUCCAUCCCGCGCUAGCAGCUUGAGCCUUUAAAUGAAGAUAUUUGCUUCGAUCAAAUCACUGCCAGCAGUUUUUAAAACAAUUAAUUCGGAACAUCAGCUCAGGAAAUUCGGUCAUGGGCAACUUUGACUAUUAAUUUAUGUGGAAAUAAGCAAAGGUCAAGAAGCAAAGCGAAGUUUAUAGAGCGAAAAGACCACAUCCCGCUGUCUAAAAACUGAUUGUUAACAAUUCGAGAAGCAACAUAGACCCCCAUGAUCAACCUAUUUCUGGCUGAGACCCCAAUACGAACGUUCAUAUUUAAAACAGAAAAAAAAACUAAAGAUUGUUAUAGGAUAGGAUAGGAGAAAGUGCGUAUAUACACAAAUAUGGAAGUUGGGCAAAUUACAAAUGGUUAAAUAAGAAACAAUAGCAGCUAGAGAAUACCUCAUAAAAAGUUUUUAAAAAAAUGCAUGGCUCCAGGAUCGAACCCAGAAAUAAUUUAGAGGAUUAUAUGAGUGGAUUGCAAGCGUGAGGAUGCCAGAGAGUAAAAUGCGAUCAAUCACAGUCAUUCCAUUCGUUUAAUAAAAGCUGUGAGCAGAAUGACGCACGGUAGUGCAUGUGAACCGACAUUUUGGGUCUCAAUAGAAGUUGCAAACAGAAACCAAAAAAUAAUACCAAGCAAAUUACACUUUUUAAUUUUAUGACAGAUUACUAAAAUUUAAUAUUGUAAGAUCCAUUCGUGAAUAAAAAUCAAUCUUAUUAGAUGUUUGUAACAGA